AUGUAUAUGAACCAGCAGCUGAGCCACCUGCAGCUGAAGUGUGACCGGUCAGAGUUGCAAUUCACAGGCUGUGCAGACAUGCUGUCCCAAUUUAUAUAUACGAUCCCCAUUGCAGCAGCGUUCCUGGCGGGCCAUUGUCGAGGCGAUGCCGUUUUUCAAACACCUACAUCCACAGUAACUGAAGGCGGUGAAGCAACGUUGAACUGUAACUAUAAUACUACAAGCACUGUUCAAUUUUCAUUACAAUGGUACCGUCAGUAUCCCGGCGGAACUCUGGAGCACCUGUUGCUCAGGACGAAAUACGACGCUAACCCAAGGAAGACCCCAGGACAACGCUUCGCAGCACAGCUGGAUGAUUCGAGGAAAUCGGUACCACUUACUGUGUCUGAAGCGCAGCUAGGAGACGAGGCUCUGUACUUCUGCGCACUGAGACCCACAACGGCACAAACUUAA
Mobula hypostoma (lesser devil ray) is the source of this 453-nucleotide non-coding RNA. Lineage: Eukaryota; Metazoa; Chordata; Chondrichthyes; Myliobatiformes; Myliobatidae. The record is from the annotation of a RefSeq genome assembly.